UACAGAGGGGGCAAGCGUUGUUCGGAAUUACUGGGCGUAAAGGGCGCGUAGGCGGCCCGCUAAGUCGAACGUGAAAUCCCCGGGCUCAACCCGGGAACUGCGUCCGAUACUGGCAGGCUUGAAUUCGGGAGAGGGAUGCGGAAUUCCAGGUGUAGCGGUGAAAUGCGUAGAUAUCUGGAGGAACACCGGUGGUGUAGACGGCUCUCUGGACCGUAACUGACGCUGAGACACGAAAGCGUGGGUAGCAAACAGG
RNAcentral lists this ribosomal RNA (253 nucleotides) under uncultured bacterium. Its description in RNAcentral is "partial 16S ribosomal RNA". It matches the Rfam family "Bacterial small subunit ribosomal RNA", at positions 524 to 776 of the family's 1533-position model. The record is from RNAcentral.